UCUCAAUUGGAUAGCAUAACA
Molecule: non-coding RNA, 21 nt
Filed under: Caenorhabditis elegans
Lineage: Eukaryota; Metazoa; Nematoda; Chromadorea; Rhabditida; Rhabditidae
Source: RNAcentral